RNAcentral lists this ribosomal RNA (253 nucleotides) under uncultured bacterium. RNAcentral describes it as "partial 16S ribosomal RNA". It matches the Rfam family "Bacterial small subunit ribosomal RNA", at positions 524 to 776 of the family's 1533-position model. The record is from RNAcentral.
UACGUAGGGUGCGAGCGUUAAUCGGAAUCACUGGGCGUAAAGCGCGCGUAGGCGGCUUUUCAAGUCAGGGGUGAAAUCCCACGGCCCAACCGUGGAACUGCCUUUGAAACUGUAGAGCUUGAGUGUCGGAGAGGGUGGCGGAAUUCCAGGUGUAGGAGUGAAAUCCGUAGAUAUCUGGAGGAACACCGGUGGCGAAGGCGGCCACCUGGACGACAACUGGCGCUGAGGUGCGAAAGCGUGGGUAGCAAACAGG